Paramisgurnus dabryanus is the source of this 1318-nucleotide non-coding RNA. The record is from RefSeq and is a predicted model, not a curated record. NCBI's taxonomy places the organism in Eukaryota, Metazoa, Chordata, Actinopteri, Cypriniformes, Cobitidae.
UCAACCUGGGAAAAAGCCACCCUGUUAGUUACAGUGCAUUAUCAUGAAAAAAAUAUGCAUUAAUUGCAAUCUUGCAUAUCCAAGGAACACAGAAUUAUUUGAUGGCUCUGCUGUGCAAAUAAGGGGUAUAUUGAUCCGCAUUUAACCAAUCCCAGUGAGCAUGCGCAAGCACACACGCACGCAGGCACACACGCGCACACACUCCUCUUUUUUUCUAGGCGGUUCCAAUCUGUUCUGUGUAUUCAUCUUUUUUUUUACAGUCUGUCGUAUUCAUUCAUCCAGAUCAUCCAGUCAAAAGGCUUUUUCGACUUCAUACGGCGCCAAAAGAACUGACAGGCUGACGAUGACGUCAAAGUAUCGCGAAAGCGAUUCGAGGAGUCUGCUUUCAAAUCGCUCUCGCGGAACUUUGACGUUGUACGUCUGUCAGUUGAUCUGGUUUAAUGUGAUUCGCGCUCUUUAUCCGUUGCAACUUGCUGUCUGAGGUAAAUAAGACGAGAAAGUUGAACCUUGCUCAUUAAAUGGAUAAAAGAAAACCAUGUAAGAGUUGGUUUGGAUAAAUAUGCGAAGGACAAUAAAUGUUAAGUGACCCAAAGACGGUUGGUCUUGUGGACAACGAGGAACAAACUGCCUAAAGGCGGUUGGAAAGCGUUUCCAGCACAAAUACUCAACAUGAACGAGAGCCUUGGGUAAAAAAAGGCAGAGUAAGUUACCAGUCAGUGGUUAAAGGCACAGAAAAUGUGGACAUCAAAACAAAUGGCUACAUUUGCUCGUGAGGAAGAUGAUAACGAAGAGGAUGAGACUCCUUCAAACCAUAAGAUAGUGGAUGAUUCACACUCAACUGCAAAGCAAUGAAAGAACACAUCUGUCACUAAAUUGAACCCAGUCACCUUGGAUUAUGCCAAAAAGUGUGAGAAUUACAAGAAACUCACCAGAACUGUGAUGGUCUCCAUUUCCACCUUAGAAAAAAUUACAAUAUGCUCCGUCACAGGGAUAAAAGGGGCCACUGGUGAACAAAGACAGAGUCCUGACAGAGAAAGUGAAGCUAGUAAUAGGGAGCCUGCUGGAAGAGAAUCUGAGGACUGAUGCACAUAUAACAAUGGACAUGCAUAAAGACACAUCUCUCUCUCUCUCUCUCUCUCUCUCUCCAACAUACACACACACUCAGAUAUACAGUUGUUGUUGUAUGGACAGCAUUUUAUUGAUACUUGUUUUUUUAUGAAUAUGUUUGGAUACUUCUUAAAAUUUGCUGUAUGUUUGCAAAUAAAUUCUCCAUUUGAAUCAGUUUUUCCUUACAGUAAAAUUUGUCCUAUGUCAAAGU